This is a long non-coding RNA of Apus apus (common swift), 4365 nucleotides long. RefSeq lists it as uncharacterized. NCBI's taxonomy places the organism in Eukaryota, Metazoa, Chordata, Aves, Apodiformes, Apodidae. The transcript is spliced from 3 exons. The record is from RefSeq and is a predicted model, not a curated record.
GGCACAACGAGGCUGUUAGGCUGCCUCCCAGCCCACCUCACACUUCUGGGGCAUCAAGUAGAGGAAGGGCAGCAAGCUCACACUUGCCCCUGGAAAGGCUCUGCCCAAGGAACAUGGGGAUGUGAGCUAAAGAAGAAAAACUAUUUUGCAGAGGAAGAUCAAGAUGGUGCCUACAAAUUACUUUCCCUAAUACUAACCAGCUGUUGGAGGUUUGCUUCCAGUUGAAUGGAUCCUGGUUGGCUUCAUUGUGCAAUUGUACAAGUCCUGAUGCCAGCACAAAUAAGGGGCAAUGGAAAAGCCAGCUAUGCAGACAGAGCAGAGGUUUAUUCUCUCAGCAGCUGCAUUGGCUUAGGCCAUCCACAAACACAUGUGGGAUGCCUCCUCCAAGAAAAGCUUGAUGCAACCAUGUCAAAUAUAAAACCCUAUGAAAUGAUUAAUCAGACUCUUCUGCAAUUCUGCCACAGACCCUAGCAUGGACUUGCUCCUCCCUGUACUGCACCCUGCUCAAUUUCUGUGUGCUGCAUCCUUUUCAAAUACUCACACGGCACAAUCUGGAGGACAGUGCUUUGAAGGGGAAUGAGUCUAUAUAACACCAAAUCAUCUCCUGCUGAGCACCACCAAAUCAUCGCAGCCUUGGACAAUCAACUGAUUUUGUUGUUUAUAUUGCCCUAAAGGCUACAUUUCAAAACCUGAAAUGUAUGGAUUGGAAAAGCUGACAACAAUUCAAGCUGUUUGAUGGUGCCGUAGAGACCUUAUUUGAAAAGUUUCCUUUCAAGGGAGGGAAUAUAACCAACAUCCAAAUCAACUCCCUCCAAAGUUAUGGUGAACAGAAAGUCUUCAAAAUACUUAGAAUCUGAUUUAAGCUAACAAGUCAAGGAAACAAGUGUUAAAACUCAAAACUCCUGCUUGAUGCUCUAUUUGUAGUUCAUCCAGUGGUAAUGAGCCAGAUUCUUCCCUAGUAUAAAUGGGCAUAAAUACACUUAAGCCAUGCAAGAAUGUUGAUUUAUGCUUGCUACAAAUCUGACCUUUAUUUCAGUACUUCAUGGUAAGCUCCAAUCCUCUUUGCACUGCUCAUUUAUUGGAAUGGAAUGAGAUUUACUAAGGUAUGCUCAGAAGAAAUGGAUUACUUUCCCCAUAAAUUUUUGUGCCAGGGAUAAAAUGGUGGUUUGUUUCGAUGUAAAACUGUUAAUAAGAUAGUUUUGUCGAAGGAACGUCAGAAAUUAUAUUAUCAUUCAUUUCAAUGCUGCACAUUUUUUAUUUCUCAGAGUUACACCCAGUGAGUACAAUAUGAUCCACAAAUUACAACCUUCUUGGAAAUGUGAGAUAAAUCUGCAGAAUGGAAGUUGAAAUAAGUUUAGCUAAUAAGCAAUUGCAUAAAAGCUAAAAUACAUGAAGCCAAACAGUUUGAUGAAAUGUAUUGGAAGGAAUAUACCCUUCUGUUUGCUUAGCUGAAACAACAUUGCAACAAAUGACCUUAUGUUCUUUAUUUCUAAGUCCACAAUCAUGCACGGAGGCUCAGCCCACUGCACAAAGCCAGACUUAUCAGAAGAUGAUAAUGAAGAAUUUAUUUUAUUAAUUUUAAAUAUAACACUCCUGACUUUUGACUAUGCUAACUGCAUGGUAAAUACAGCUUAUCACUGCAGAGGACCAUGCUGAGAAAAUUGCAUGUGAAAUUACACUACUGUGAAGUGCUCAACAUGGGGGCUGCACUCAAAAGAUGGAGCUCACGUAGGAGGCAGCAGCCCAUUUGCUACAUUCUGUUUCUCACAGGUAACAUCUUACCCUGAUGUUUUCAGUCUACACUAGCUCUUGAUUAUCUUCCUGAUGAUGACUGAAGACUUAGUUUGCAUUGAAUUGUCUACAGCUUGGCCACCAGGUAAUGACUUCUCCUGUAAUGCAGUGGUACAACCAUAGGUGUAUUAAGGUUAGUAUGGAUGAGUUAUGAAUGGCAAUGUACAAGUGUGAAAUCAUCAAGAAACAACAAGAAGGGGAAAAGGAAUGGUAAAUACAGCUUCUUGAUGGUACCUGGGUCUGGAAAACCAAGGGCUGCCUCCUGGGUGGAUCACAGACCUAUGUUCUAGGCAGCUGUUCUCCAACCCUGACUCCUAGCUCUAUACUGGAGGUAGCUUGCUUCUAGCCUUGUCCCCUAGGUGGACCUUGGACUUCUGCUGUAGCUUUGUCCUCAGCCCCAUCUGCUGGGUAAACCUUGGACCUAUGUUGCAGAAUUGUUUCAAGUCUUUUCUCUGGUCCCCAUCUCCUGCUACUGCUGGAGGAUCCCUGGACUUGAUUUGUUUGGGUCUGUUGAUGGACACUGCUGUCAGAAUCCAGGUCUGCGUGCCAUGUUUAGGGACAGCACCCAGGCAGUGAAGGCACUGGGUGACCCUCAGCUCCUGGCUACAUGACCACACACAUCUCCAUCUUCGUACACAUGAAAGGACUUAGUCUGUGAGAGAAGGUAUGUGUGAAAUCAGCUUAAAAGAAACUUCCCUUCCUGUGUGGUUUUGCAUUGAACUUUGCUACAUUAGCCAAACAGAAGCAAAGAAACGCUCAAGAUGACACUCUGAUCUGAUAGACAAGUGCAAGGUAUUUGUGCUCUUGAUUCUGGAGCUUGUUCCCUGAUCACAUGCAAAAGAGACUGGAUUUGUUAAUCUUGGAAUGCAGGGCAGGGAUACUUGGUGAUCUGGGCAUGAGUUUCUUCAAGGCAGGGAAAAGAGGAGAUGAAGAGCUGCAAUUGGUAUAGGAGCUGAGUUUCAAGAAACCACUCGUUUCAAGUUCUUUUAAUUUGGCAGCUUUUUUUUGUUGUUGGUUUUGGUUUUGGUUUUUUAAUACUAUUUCCCCCCCUCCUGUACAACAUAGUAGAGAUCUGUAAAACCAUCUGGGAGUUGAACUUUCAGAAAUGCCAUAGCCCCCAAAAAUGAAGUAGAUCUUCAAAUCAGGCUUUCAGCACUGCUUGGGAAACAAAUCCAAAUACUUCUCUGUUUGAAAAGAAGAUGCUCUGGCACCAGAGCAAUAUGAGAAAACGUACGAUUCAUUCGACCUGCUGCAGCUGCUGCAGCCCUCUGCAGCCGCAUGUGGCAAACACAAAUUCCCAGCUUCGCAGGCACAUACCGCCAUGAAGAGCUUCCAGUACUUUCAGUAAAAAACAGAGAAACCUUCGGUGUGCUCUUUUUUGUCUCCUUACCUCUCGGGAGCGCCCUGCGGGAGGAUCUCCCCCCGGAGGGGCCGUUCAGCGCAGCAGGCUGUGCACAGCAGGGCGGGCGGACCGGCUGGCACCAGGGCAGGGUCGCGGGGGCUUGUCUGAACGUGCGGUUCCGCAGCGCGGGCUCCAGCUGCUCCUGUGCUCAAGACAAGACCGCCACCUGCUGCCACGCACCCGGCGCGGCGUGACAGUGCCGCGGGAGAGGCCCCGUCUCCCCCGUGGGGCAGCGCCUCGGCUCCUCGGCUGCCACUGUGUCCGUUCUUGUAGCCUGUUUCCUUCUCUGCUCCCCGUUAGGAAGAGCAGACGCCUGUCGCCAGUCACGCCAGCAGCCGGCAGGGGCCCCGCGCUGCGUCCUCCUGGGGUGUCACCCACCCUGCCAGGUGGGGACGGAGAAGGACGCUGAGUCAAAGUAGACGAGUCAAAUCUGGCCAGCAGGCACGCAUAUAUCUCUAGAUGUACACGUGUGCACUCACCGCUGCUCAACAGUGCUAACUAUUGCUUUUUAUGCGCCUGAAAUACCAGCUGAGAGUUUAUAUUCUGUGCAAAUACUUGGCCUCUUACUUGGGAGCUCAGAUGAAAUGCAGACAGGGGGUUAGUUCAGAGUAGCUUCUGAGGCAAAGAGCUUGCCAGCACGCAGUGAUGGAUCUGCUGAACUGGGGUUUUCUUAUCUGGGAUGCUCUUCGUGGAGAGGUUCCUGUUUCUCCAGCAUCUAAAUCAGCCUAAUCCUGCCAUGGAGGAAAGCCCUCAUUGCUUUGCAGUCUGUCCUACAUGUGUUGUCUGAGUUCUUAACUCUCCCAUGUCUGGGCACCAGGGCUGCUCCUCAAUGUUUAAAUGCUGUUUUCUUCACAUUUACUGUAAUGGUGGGGGUUUUUUCAUUGCCUUUUUAGCAACUUUGGAAGGGUAGUUAUUUUUAUAAAACAAUCCUUUAUUUGCAUCUUAUUUUCAUCAUUCUUAUUCAUCUAUUGCUCAUUUAAAUAGUUUGACCUACUGACUAUAUAUCCUUAUACCUGUAUUAUAAGAGCUGUUUUUUGUUUAGUUCUCAUAUAUUGUAUCUUUGGAUUUUUGGCAUGUUUAAGCAACGGGCACUGUCUAGAUACUUUAGGUAACUAAACUGUUGAAUAAGCUAAACAGCUAAAUUAAAUAUAAGUAUUGUCAUUUUCCCCCCA